This 403-nucleotide ribosomal RNA is filed under the name uncultured bacterium. RNAcentral describes it as "bacterial SSU rRNA". It matches the Rfam family "Bacterial small subunit ribosomal RNA", at positions 28 to 432 of the family's 1533-position model. The record is from RNAcentral.
GACGAACGCUGGCGGCGUGCUUAACACAUGCAAGUCGAGCGGUAAGGCCCUUUCGGGGGUACACGAGCGGCGAACGGGUGAGUAACACGUGGGUGACCUGCCUUUAGCUCUGGGAUAAGCCUGGGAAACUGGGUCUAAUACCGGAUAUGACUCCGCGGUGCAUGCUGUGGGGUGGAAAGCCUUGUGCGGCUGGAGAUGGGCCCGCGGCCUAUCAGCUUGUUGGUGGGGUGAUGGCCUACCAAGGCGACGACGGGUAGCCGGCCUGAGAGGGCGACCGGCCACACUGGGACUGAGACACGGCCCAGACUCCUACGGGAGGCAGCAGUGGGGAAUCUUGGACAAUGGGCGCAAGCCUGAUCCAGCCAUGCCGCGUGAGUGAAGAAGGCCUUAGGGUUGUAAAGCU